This 688-nucleotide long non-coding RNA is filed under the name Coffea arabica (coffee). RNAcentral's name for it is "long non-coding RNA (CARA_LNC005477)". Lineage: Eukaryota; Viridiplantae; Streptophyta; Magnoliopsida; Gentianales; Rubiaceae. The record is from RNAcentral.
AACCCUAGAUCUAAGAGGGUAUCGAGGGGUCAAAAUAUCUCUUCGAAUUUUAAUUGAUGCAAAUCGCAUUACUUGCGAUGCCCAAAGUGAUUAUUUCGAAGAAGUCACGAAUUGUGCAAAAAUAUGAGACUCAAAGAAAAAAUACGAAAAUAAAAGUAUGUACAAAUAUACAUGACCUAAAGGGAUGCAUCAUAACGGGUGCGGGGGACUAAUGUUCGUGACUCAAUUUUCCCUUUAAUAGAGGGAAUACGAGCGUGCUAAGGCCAAAGGGCCAAACUCGUCCAUAUCCCAUACUCAAGGGGUUAUUCCCUAAUCUAAUCAAGCAAAUGCACUACCCUAAUCCUAAUUCUAAAAUGAAAUGCAAGUCUAAUGUUAUGUAUCAUACAAAGGGAUAGGGAAUAUACAUAUAAGGGGAUCAUGUAAGAAAAAUGAUAAAAGACCCUAGAAAAUGAAAAAAUAUGCACGAGAUGAGGUGAAUUUAUCGCACAAUCAUGAUCUAACGCUCAAAGGGCUCCUAAGGGUCUAGCAUUGGACUAGCCCAUAUCUAUAAAUUUUCACAAGCGUUGGACUUGUGAGAAAUCGGAAAAUAAAAGGUCUCAACUAGCGUUGGACUAGUGAAAAAUCAGGAACAGAGCCACUACUAGCGUUGGACUAGUGUGGUGACGUCAUACAUCAAUUAUUACUAACU